GGAAUUUUCGGCAAUGGGGGAAACCCUGACCGAGCAACGUCGCGUGAACGAUGAAGGCCUUCGGGUCGUAAAGUUCUGUUGCGAAGGAAGAACGCCGGUGUCAGGAAAUGGGCGCCGGGUGACGGUACUUCGCAUAGAAAGCCACGGCUAACUACGUGCCAGCAGCCGCGGUAAUACGUAGGUGGCGAGCGUUAUCCGGAAUCAUUGGGCGUAAAGAGGGAGCAGGCGGCGAUACAGGUCUGUGGUGAAAUUCCGAAGCUAAACUUCGGCCAGCCAAAGAAACCGGAUCGCUAGAGUGCGGAAGAGGAUCGUGGAAUUCCAUGUGUAGCGGUGAAAUGCGUAGAUAUAUGGAGGAACACCAGUGGCGAAGGCGACGGUCUGGGCCGCAACUGACGCUCAUUCCCGAAAGCGUGGGGAGCAAAUA
RNAcentral lists this ribosomal RNA (424 nucleotides) under uncultured Erysipelotrichaceae bacterium. RNAcentral describes it as "bacterial SSU rRNA". It matches the Rfam family "Bacterial small subunit ribosomal RNA", at positions 358 to 774 of the family's 1533-position model. Lineage: Bacteria; Bacillati; Bacillota; Erysipelotrichia; Erysipelotrichales; Erysipelotrichaceae. The record is from RNAcentral.